Molecule: ribosomal RNA, 723 nt
Filed under: uncultured bacterium
Lineage: Bacteria
Description: bacterial SSU rRNA
Rfam family: Bacterial small subunit ribosomal RNA
Source: RNAcentral
CUGGCGGCAUUUCUAACACAUGAAGUCGAACGGACUUUAGUGAAGGAAGUUUUCGGAUGGAAUUCACCGAGGUUAGUGGCGGACGGGUGAGUAACGCGUGGGUAACCUGCCCAUAAGACUGGGAUAACUUCGGGAAACCGGAGCUAAUACCGGAUAUAUUCUUUUGUCUGCAUGGAUAGAAGAAAAAAGAUGGCCUCUCGACGAAGCUAUCGCUUAUGGAUGGACCCGCGUCUGAUUAGCUAGUUGGUGAGGUAACGGCUCACCAAGGCGACGAUCAGUAGCCGGCCUGAGAGGGUGAACGGCCACACUGGGACUGAGACACGGCCCAGACUCCUACGGGAGGCAGCAGUGGGGAAUCUUCCGCAAUGGGCGAAAGCCUGACGGAGCAAUGCCGCGUGAGUGAAGAAGGCCUUCGGGUUGUAAAACUCUGUCCUAAGGGAAGAAUGUACUUUGUGUAAAUAAUGCAAGGUAAUGACGGUACCUUGGGAGGAAGCCCCGGCUAACUACGUGCCAGCAGCCGCGGUAAUACGUAGGGGGCGAGCGUUGUCCGGAAUUACUGGGCGUAAAGCGCGCGUAGGCGGAUUAUUAAGUCAGAUGUGAAAACUCUGGGCUCAACCGAGAGCAUGCAUCUGAUACUGGUAGUCUUGAGUGUAGAAGAGGAGAGUGGAAAUUCCUAGUGUAGCGGUGAAAUGCGUAGAUAUUAGGAGGAACACCCGUGGCGAA